Molecule: ribosomal RNA, 1400 nt
Filed under: uncultured bacterium
Lineage: Bacteria
Description: 16S ribosomal RNA
Rfam family: Bacterial small subunit ribosomal RNA
Source: RNAcentral
AGAGUUUGAUCCUGGCUCAGGAUGAACGCUGGCGGCGUGCUUAAUACAUGCAAGUCGAACGGAUGGAUGCCAGGCCCAGCCUGGCUGAAGUCAGUGGCGAACGGGUGAGUAAUACGUAGGCAACCUGCCCCCAUGUGCGGAACAACGGAUGGAAACGUCCGCUAAUGCCGCAUAGGUGGCGGAGGGGCAUCCCUCCUCCAUUAAAGGCCCUCAUGGGGCCGCGCGGGGAUGGGCCUACGGUGCAUUAGCUUGUUGGCGGGAUGACAGCCCACCAAGGCGAUGAUGCAUAGCCGGCCUGAGAGGGUGGACGGCCACAUUGGGACUGAGACACGGCCCAGACUCCUACGGGAGGCAGCAGUAAGGAAUUUUCGGCAAUGGGGGAAACCCUGACCGAGCAACGCCGCGUGAGCGAUGAAGGCCUUCGGGUCGUAAAGCUCUGUUGCGAAGGAAGAACACCGCCAUCAGGAAAUGGAUGGCGGCUGACGGUACUUCGUCAGAAAGUCACGGCUUACUACGUGCCAGCAGCCGCGGUAAUACGUAGGUGGCAAGCGUUAUCCGGAUUUAUUGGGCGUAAAGGGUGCGCAGGCGGCCUGCCAAGUUCGAGGUGAAAGCGUUGGGCUCAACCCAAUACAGCUUCGAAUACUGGCAGGCUCGAGUGCAGGAGAGGAUGUCGGAAUUCCAUGUGUAGCGGUAAAAUGCGUAGAUAUAUGGAGGAACACCAGCGGCGAAGGCGGACAUCUGGCCUGCAACUGACGCUGAGGCACGAAAGCGUGGGGAGCAAAUAGGAUUAGAUACCCUAGUAGUCCACGCCCUAACCGAUGAGGAACUAGGUGUUGGAGCGAUCCAGUGCUGCAGCUAACCCAAUAAGUUCUCCGCCUGAGGAGUAUGCACGCAAGUGUGAAACUUAAAGGGAAUUGACGGGGGCCCCGCACAAGCGGUGGAGUAUGCGGUUUAAUUCGACGCAACGCGAAGAACCUUACCAGGCCUUGACAUCCCCUGCAAAUCCAUGGAGACAUGGCAGGAGGCCAUCAGGGUGACAGGUGGUGCAUGGUUGUCGUCAGCUCGUGUCGUGAGAUGUUGGGUUAAGUCCCGCAACGAGCGCAACCCCUGUCUUCAGUUACCAUCAUUCGGUUGGGGACUCUGGAGAGACUGCCGGUGACAAACCGGAGGAAGGUGGGGAUGACGUCAAAUCAUCAUGCCCCUUAUGGCCUGGGCUACACGCGUACUACAAUGGCGCAGACAGCGGGAUGCGCGGCAGCGAUGCCAAGCCAAUCCCCCAAACUGCGUCCCAGUUCGGAUUGGAGUCUGCAAUUCGGCUCCAUGAAGUCGGAAUCGCUAGCAAUCGCGGAUCAGCAUGCCGCGGUGAAUACGUUCUCGGGGCUUGCACUCACCGCCCGUCA